Non-coding RNA from Zea mays, 69 nucleotides. The record is from Rfam. Lineage: Eukaryota; Viridiplantae; Streptophyta; Magnoliopsida; Poales; Poaceae.
UCCUAUGAUGGCAUGAAUCUUUGAGGCCUGAUUAUUCUCAUGAAGACAACUAUAAGCAUAACUGAGCUC